This 318-nucleotide ribosomal RNA is filed under the name uncultured eukaryote. RNAcentral's name for it is "partial 18S ribosomal RNA". It matches the Rfam family "Eukaryotic small subunit ribosomal RNA", at positions 1470 to 1796 of the family's 1831-position model. The record is from RNAcentral.
CCCUUAGAUGUCCUGGGCCGCACGCGUGCUACACUGACGCAUACAGCGAGCACUUUCCAGUUCCGAGAGGCUACUGGUAAUCAUCAAUAUGCGUCGUGAUGGGGAUAGAUCUUUGGAAUUCUGGAUCUUGAACGAGGAAUGCCUAGUAAUCGCAGGUCAUUAGCCUGCGAUGAUUAAGUCCCUGCCCUUUGUACACACCGCCCGUCGCUACUACCGAUUUCGAGUGGUCAGGUGAAUCUUUCGGACUGUGGGCGCCCUUGAGGUGUUCGCGGAAGGUCAGGUAAAUCUUAUCACUUAGAGGAAGUAAAAGUCGUAACA